This 761-nucleotide ribosomal RNA is filed under the name uncultured bacterium. Its description in RNAcentral is "bacterial SSU rRNA". It matches the Rfam family "Bacterial small subunit ribosomal RNA", at positions 88 to 835 of the family's 1533-position model. The record is from RNAcentral.
AAAGCGAGCGGCGGAUGGGUGAGUAACACGUGGGGAACCUGCCCCUAAGUCUGGGAUACCAUUUGGAAACAGGUGCUAAUACCGGAUAAUAAAGCAGAUCGCAUGAUCAGCUUUUGAAAGGCGGCGUAAGCUGUCGCUAAGGGAUGGCCCCGCGGUGCAUUAGCUAGUUGGUAAGGUAACGGCUUACCAAGGCGACGAUGCAUAGCCGAGUUGAGAGACUGAUCGGCCACAUUGGGACUGAGACACGGCCCAAACUCCUACGGGAGGCAGCAGUAGGGAAUCUUCCACAAUGGACGCAAGUCUGAUGGAGCAACGCCGCGUGAGUGAAGAAGGUUUUCGGAUCGUAAAGCUCUGUUGUUGGUGAAGAAGGAUAGAGGUAGUAACUGGCCUUUAUUUGACGGUAAUCAACCAGAAAGUCACGGCUAACUACGUGCCAGCAGCCGCGGUAAUACGUAGGUGGCAAGCGUUGUCCGGAUUUAUUGGGCGUAAAGCGAGCGCAGGCGGAAAAAUAAGUCUAAUGUGAAAGCCCUCGGCUUAACCGAGGAACUGCAUCGGAAACUGUUUUUCUUGAGUGCAGAAGAGGAGAGUGGAACUCCAUGUGUAGCGGUGGAAUGCGUAGAUAUAUGGAAGAACACCAGUGGCGAAGGCGGCUCUCUGGUCUGCAACUGACGCUGAGGCUCGAAAGCAUGGGUAGCGAACAGGAUUAGAUACCCUGGUAGUCCAUGCCGUAAACGAUGAGUGCUAAGUGUUGGGAGGUUUCC